CCCAGUGUACAGGAUCACGAUUUGACCACCAGGAAGAAUGGUGGCUGAACCGGUCCAUACACCAUUGAUAUCGAACGGCCUAUCGGGGACCAUGGCGAAGGGCAGAUACAGCCAGUGAAUAAGGUCCCUUGAAACCGCAUGUCCCCAUGUGAUGUUUCCCCAGAUAGCUGAAUCCGGAUUGUAUUGGUAGAAAAGGUGGUACCAACCCAUGUGGAACAAUGGACCUGUACCAGCAUAGCUUUUUUUUUUUUUUUUUUUUAUCAAAACAUGCAUUGUCCCUGGAGACUCUUAUGAUUGUCAUCGUUCUAAAACAAGUUGAAACCACAUGCACUUUAUCAAGUACGAACAGAAUUGUUAUUAAGGGCUGUGAGGAAAGCCGCCUCGAUUUAUUACAGGGAUGGUCAGGUCUCAGAUCACGAUAUUCUUCCUUUCUUUUUGUUUUUUUUGGCCAAAUACGCUACAUUCUAUUUUAUACCUAUUCUUACUAUACUAUAUACUAGAAGGAGGGAGACCUAAAGGGAUCCGGGAAGAAUCUGAAAGGACUGAACCACCGUCGAUCUAAACGGAUGACUACACAUUCGUUAGGAAAUUCCAGAGAAUCCUGGAUUGAACGUAGACAAAGGGAUUUAAUCUCUUAUUAACCUACACCCUUAAGUAAAAUUUUAAGAUUCACUUGGUAACCAACUGCUCUAGAAGUAGUUGGUUAGAUUAAGAUAUUCCCCGAUCUUGUGGUUUUUGAAGCAGAAAUUAUACAGUAAGAGAAGUGUUGAGAAGGCAAGUUGGCAACUGCCCCGUCAUGGCUGUCAUCCGGGACGGUUGGACGAAUUCAAAGUUUCAUGCUGAUUUCUCCACCAAGAAAUACUACAAGAAUUAAUCUACAGCAUUUGCAUAAUAUUCAAGAAAGCAACAAUUCAUCCCAUGGAAAUUUCAGCCUCUCGUGGGAUGUGCGUGCAAGAAAUUGAAAAGUAUGUGUAGUUUUGCAUCCCAUAACUUUGGGGUCUAUCAAAUGCCACGUAGAAAUUCUGGUGAUUUUGAAAAUUUCAGACCCAAAAUGAACGAAAAGACGUGUGCAGCAGACUCGUCACAAUUGAUUUUGCAAAAUUGAACACGACUCUCUCCCAUCUUCCUAGUUGUUAUCCGAGUAGCUUCGUUGCAAUAAUUGGAUUGGGCACUUACAUAUUAAUGCAUUUAUCUGUUAGCUUCCAAUUUCAAUUUCACAAUCCAGAAGAAAGAAACUGAAACGGAAAAAAAAAAAUCCAAAACCACAGAGUAUUAUUCAGCCAAGGAUGGAGUCGAGGGAGGGACAAUUCUAUUUUGAGCCCUUUAUUUCAAUUAUUCCUUGAUAGAGAGAGAGAGUGAAAAGAACUUGUGGCCCUUAACAAUUUUCCUAUCGGCUCUAUCCAUUUUAUGUACUUCGACCUGGGUGUAUAAAAUCACUGGGCCAUUGGCUCAGUGACCAUCAGGGUUGACGAGGGUUUAAAUCUCAUCAGCAGCGAAAAAAAUUUAAGGGUUGUGCUAUAACACUUCCUUGAUCUAGUUGGAUCUGUAUACCCACUAGUCCCUUUCAUAGUCUCCUUAGGCUCCCUUCCCCCUAGAUUAUGAUAGAGUAAGUUAUACAAAUACAUCGUUGCUGAAAAAAAAAAAACUUGGGUGUAUAAAUUAUUAGGCACAACUACUUGGGAGUACUAUAGUAGUAGAAAUGUGGCUUUCCACGUUCCACAAUCUACAAAAAGCCAGAUGGACAAAUGCACAUGUGGCGUGUUGACCCACCCACAUGGAAAUGAGUAUUCGGAGAAAGAACCCUCCUUGAUUGGUCCACAACUCUCUUCCAAAACCCCAAAAAAAAAAAAAAAAAAGAAUUAACUAAUCCUCAAUCAACUACUACUAUAUAGGGCACUUUUACCACCACACAUUCGUUUGAAUCUUCCGAAUAAAGUACCCUACUAGCAAUAAUACGCCAACCAUCAAGAAGAAGUUGAAUUAUUACGAUUCUCCUACACAGACGGAAUCCCCAGACAGAAACCUAUACUUGCACGGCGGGAAUCCCAUGGUCAACUACAAUGCCUACGCAUGUUAGACAAAUUACUACGACAUUAAAACGAGAAAACACCCCAUGGGCUCCAAAAUUAUAGGAAUGUACAACUCUAAUCUAAACUAGACAAUUAGAGGAUGGAAAGUAUAUGCUUGCAAUUUGCAGUAUCAGAAGCAAAUGAAAGUGAUUGAGCAACGUACCAUUAGGAUCUAGAGUAGACGAAAUUUCCCCGCAAAGUUGUGUGUGUCAUCAAACCACCAACAGUGAAGGAAAAAAAAAAAAGAAGCUCGGAUUAGUAUGCAUGAAUGCAUCACAUACCUUAAAAUUCUACAAUGGUAAGGAAUUUUCAGAGAAAAGAGACGGGUUGGCUUUUGGAACCUGCAAGAUUGGAUUAUGACUCACCGUUCAUCCAGUUCUUCUCCGGCUGGAAAUGGUAGGAAGUUCUUUGCCAAGAUAGCAUAGCAUUGGUCCAAGGAUAGACAUCAUUCGCAUCAGAGACUCCCCGGAAAGUCUUCUCCGAGACUCCUUGAGGAACCCCUCUGGAAGCUGGAAUGAGAGAAUGAGGGGAGACAGGUGAGGAAGGGGAUGACUUGUUUAAAUUGGCAUUGAUCAUUUGAGAUUGAUCGCGAGGUUCUUCUUGUCCUUGGAAAAGGGUCAAGAUUAAGGUAAGCAGAAACAAUGAGGACAGGAAAAUGCCGGCCAGAACCUUAACGGGCCGUUGUCUACUUUGACCCGAGGACCGAGAAACCUCUGCUUCAUCGGAUUGCUCUAGCAAAGGAGCAUCGGAGACGGCAAGUUCAGGAUCAUAUGGCAGAGUAAGAGAACGAUUGGCGGCCAUUUUGGUAGAUGACGGUGGACGGAGAAGGGAAGGCUAGGCCGAAUGCUAGCUACAAAGGCGCUAUAUGGUAGACCACUACUCGACUAGCUAGUCGUACUACCAACAAUAUAUAUAUAUAUAUAGCAGUGGCAUUCGGGCUUUCAACGGGGGUGGUAAAAAAAAAAAAAAAAUUUAAAGGUGGAAUUCGGGCUCUCCAGGACUGGGGGCGGCCCCUGCUCAGCAGUUGGCAAUGUGUCUGCAUUUGAGUUUUCUUGCAUGAUGUGUGGUCCAACACGGAUUUUUCCAGAGCACUUUAUUGGUGGAGAGGGUUACGGGCCGGGUUCAACUUCUUCACCAGUUUUACUGUUUAAUAAAGUUUAAGCGAACAUUUUAUUCUUUUUUUGCCUUACGGAACUGCAAGUUAUUACGAUUAAAAACGUAAAAAAGAAAAUGCAGACAAAAAAAAAAGAAUAAAAUAGUUGUGUUUGAAUUGCAUUUUUCAUGAAAAAAUUACUGUAGCGAUUUGAUGUAUGCGAGGAAAAAAGAUAAUAGAGAAAUGUGAUCACGGAAAACGACGUAAUUUUUUGACGGAAAACAACAAUCAAAACAAGGCCAUGCCAAAGCUGAAAUUUUUUUUUUUUAAGGAAUAUACGUAUGUGGAAAAAUAAUCUUGCUAAGGUCCUUUUUAUUUGCAUUUAGGAAACUCCAUUUGUUGUUCCCCAGCAAUUCGACCCUAGAACUAGAUGCAAAUGAAGAUUGGUUCGAUUUCCUUUGUGUUUCAAAGGUAAAAGGGGGAAAAAAGGCGGCGUCAAGAGUGGAAAAUGUCUUAGCCAAAAAAAAAAAAAAAAAAGAGUAGAAAGUGAGGAAAAAGUCAAAACAAUGUAUAUUAAUAAACACUGGUCGAGGAAUAUUGAAUUACUCUUUUUAAAAGAAAAACCAAAAAGUACAUGAAUGUUGAACCAUACCGAUUCUGUAAUAUUAUUUUUAAUAACAUAAGUAAAAGAAUUUAAAUUCAAAAUUAUAUAUAUACAUAUUAUAUUCCAUCCCACCCUUCCUGAAUUUUGUGAUUGCAACACGUUAAAAAUUUUGCCGGUUUUAUUUGGUCAUCAUAUCUCUGUCUGACUACGGACAAAUCAGAAUUGGGCAAUGAGUUGGCAUUAUUGUAUUAUAGAAUCGUAUUCGUGUACCAAUCUUAGAAAGAAAAAGAAACAGUGAUGAUUGAAGAACAGACCUGCGUUGCUGAGCCAAUAUUUAGGGGCGCGAUGGAUCCUGGUUCCAGCUUGACGGUGUCAAAUUCAGUAGCAUUAAAUCUCAAGCUCUCCGCUUCUUCAACCGGCCAUUGAAGUAUAUUUGUUCCAGUCUUCUUGUCAAAAACCACCGUUCUUGGAUUGUCUGUGCAACACAUCAAACCAGCUAUUACUAUUAGGCCUGGGAACCACACAGUCCGAUGCAUGGCAGUGUCAUUAUUAUUAUUAUUAUAUUAUCGUUUUCCGUGAUCACAUUUUCCUAUCACCUUUUUCUCUCACAUAUAUCAAAUCGUUACAGUAAUUUUUCCAUAAAAAAUGACAAAAAAUGUAAUCCAAACACAACCUUAAGUUCCAUCUGGGCAAUCCAUCCAAGCUUGGUAAUCAUUCUUUCUUUAACUAAAUUCUUUGUGGGCUACAUGGUAAUUAGUAGUAUAUUUUUUGGUGGAGUAGACAUUAAAGUUGUUUCCGUUCAAAAGGAACAAAAAAAAGACACGUAGAAUAUGGUACCAUAUCACUUCACAAUUAGAGAGGCCAUCUUGACGUGGUUCUCACACACCAAAUGAAUAGAAUAUUAUCAAAGAACUUGAAAUCAAAGUCAAGGCAAUGCAUUAUGCACUUGUGAAUGAGGAGAACAAUAAUACUAAUAAUAAUGAUGAUACCUGAACCGAUGCCCAUCCUUUCAUGAGGUCAGCAGCUUCGCUGUCAGUUUCUCCAAUCCAACCCCACAAAAUCCUCCUCUUCUUGUUCUGGUCGUAAAAUGUCUUUGACGCGUAAUACUUGCCAUAGUCCAGACGCAACCCGAUACCCACAUCCAGUUCCGGAUCGUCAGGGGUCCACUUAUUGUUUUUCGGAUCAUAGGUGCCCAGUGCGUAGUAAUCGUGCUUGUUCUCGUCCAAGCUUGCCUUCAGGACGUGCUUAGUGCCAGGCCCAUUAGCCGAUGUAUCCAGCCCAUUAUCCCCCGUGGUGGAAACCGGGUAGAAAUCCACGCACUCCCACAUGCCUGUGCGGGGAACGGCGUGUAAAACCCCAUCCAAGAGCCGGUAGCCCUUGAAGUCGCUGGUUUCAUAAACCAGGGCAAUGCCCGUUUUAUUGACCUUGGACCCGAGAGUAACCAACCACUUGGUCCCAUCGGGCGCCAGCCAGGCGGUGGUGGGGUCCCUAAAGUCCUUCUUGCCAAUGCCAGGUGGGGGAUCAUGACCGGGUUACCCGGGUACUUGAUCCAGUCAAGGAGGAGAGGAUCGGAUAGGUUGGCGGGGUACGCAAGGUUUUGCACCUGCACCAGAUCAGCAGUGUCCCCAGUGUACAGGAUCACGAUUUGACCACCAGGAAGAAUGGUGGCUGAACCGGUCCAUACACCAUUGAUAUCGAACGGCCUAUCGGGGACCAUGGCGAAGGGCAGAUACAGCCAGUGAAUAAGGUCCCUUGAAACCGCAUGUCCCCAUGUGAUGUUUCCCCAGAUAGCUGAAUCCGGAUUGUAUUGGUAGAAAAGGUGGUACCAACCCAUGUGGAACAAUGGACCUGUACCAGCAUAGCUUUUUUUUUUUUUUUUUUUUAUCAAAACAUGCAUUGUCCCUGGAGACUCUUAUGAUUGUCAUCGUUCUAAAACAAGUUGAAACCACAUGCACUUUAUCAAGUACGAACAGAAUUGUUAUUAAGGGCUGUGAGGAAAGCCGCCUCGAUUUAUUACAGGGAUGGUCAGGUCUCAGAUCACGAUAUUCUUCCUUUCUUUUUGUUUUUUUUGGCCAAAUACGCUACAUUCUAUUUUAUACCUAUUCUUACUAUACUAUAUACUAGAAGGAGGGAGACCUAAAGGGAUCCGGGAAGAAUCUGAAAGGACUGAACCACCGUCGAUCUAAACGGAUGACUACACAUUCGUUAGGAAAUUCCAGAGAAUCCUGGAUUGAACGUAGACAAAGGGAUUUAAUCUCUUAUUAACCUACACCCUUAAGUAAAAUUUUAAGAUUCACUUGGUAACCAACUGCUCUAGAAGUAGUUGGUUAGAUUAAGAUAUU
RNAcentral lists this long non-coding RNA (6108 nucleotides) under Coffea arabica (coffee). Its description in RNAcentral is "long non-coding RNA (CARA_LNC000876)". Lineage: Eukaryota; Viridiplantae; Streptophyta; Magnoliopsida; Gentianales; Rubiaceae. The record is from RNAcentral.